GGGGUAGUAGCUCAGUGGUAGAGCUCCCGAUUCAUACGUGGGAAGGUCUGGGUUCCAUUCCCGGCUGCCUUC
This 72-nucleotide transfer RNA is filed under the name Toxocara canis (dog roundworm). It matches the Rfam family "tRNA". Rfam says of the family: Transfer RNA (tRNA) molecules are approximately 80 nucleotides in length. Their secondary structure includes four short double-helical elements and three loops (D, anti-codon, and T loops). Lineage: Eukaryota; Metazoa; Nematoda; Chromadorea; Rhabditida; Toxocaridae. The record is from Rfam by way of RNAcentral.